CCUACGGGUGGCUGCAGUGGGGAAUAUUGGACAAUGGGCGCAAGCCUGAUCCAGCCAUGCCGCGUGAGUGAAGAAGGCCUUCGGGUUGUAAAGCUCUUUUGGCGGGGACGAUAAUGACGGUACCCGCAGAAUAAGCUCCGGCUAACUUCGUGCCAGCAGCCGCGGUAAUACGAAGGGAGCUAGCGUUGUUCGGAAUCACUGGGCGUAAAGCGCACGUAGGCGGACUUGUCAGUCAGGGGUGAAAUCCUGAGGCUCAACCUCAGAACUGCCUCCGAUACAGCAAGUCUUGAGUCCGGGAGAGGUGAGUGGAAUUCCUAGUGUAGAGGUGAAAUUCGUAGAUAUUAGGAAGAACACCAGUGGCGAAGGCGGCUCACUGGCCCGGUACUGACGCUGAGGUGCGAAAGCGUGGGGAGCAAACAGGCUUAGAUACCCCGGUAGUC
This 440-nucleotide ribosomal RNA is filed under the name uncultured Pedomicrobium sp. Its description in RNAcentral is "bacterial SSU rRNA". It matches the Rfam family "Bacterial small subunit ribosomal RNA", at positions 338 to 795 of the family's 1533-position model. Lineage: Bacteria; Pseudomonadati; Pseudomonadota; Alphaproteobacteria; Hyphomicrobiales; Hyphomicrobiaceae. The record is from RNAcentral.